Mustela putorius furo (domestic ferret) is the source of this 99-nucleotide small nuclear RNA. The record is from Ensembl. Lineage: Eukaryota; Metazoa; Chordata; Mammalia; Carnivora; Mustelidae.
GUGGUUUGGCAGCACAUACGCUAAAACUGGAAUGAUACAGAGAGGAUUAACUGGCCCUUGUGCAAAGAUGACACCCAAAAAGAAGGGGGAAAGAUUAUA